AGUCAAUAGAUACCCGGGUAGUCCACGCCGUAAACGAUGAGUACUAGGUGUAGGAGGUAUCGACUCCUUCUGUGCCGCAGUUAAACACAAUAAGUACUCCGCCUGGGAAGUACGGUCGCAAGAUUAAAACUCAAAGGAAUUGACGGGGGCCCGGCACAAGCAGCGGAGCAUGUGGUUUAAUUCGAAGCAACGCGAAGAACCUUACCUAGACUUGACAUCUCCUGAAUAGCGCAGAGAUGCGUGAAGCCCUUCGGGGUCGAGGAAGACAGGUGGUGCAUGGUUGUCGUCAGCUCGUGUCGUGAGAUGUUGGGUUAAGUCCCGCAACGAGCGCAACCCCUAUUAUUAGUUGCUACCAUUAAGUUGAGCACUCUAAUGAGACUGCCCGGGUUAACCGGGUAGGAAGGCGGGGAGUGACGUCAAAUCAUCAUGCCCCGUUACUGUCGUAGGGCUACACACGUGCUACAAUGGUGAGAACAACGAGAUGCAACUACCGCGAGGUGGAGCAAAACUUAGAAACUCAUCUCAGUUCGGAUUGUAGG
Molecule: ribosomal RNA, 539 nt
Filed under: uncultured bacterium
Lineage: Bacteria
Description: bacterial SSU rRNA
Rfam family: Bacterial small subunit ribosomal RNA
Source: RNAcentral